Molecule: ribosomal RNA, 468 nt
Filed under: uncultured bacterium
Lineage: Bacteria
Description: partial 16S ribosomal RNA
Rfam family: Bacterial small subunit ribosomal RNA
Source: RNAcentral
GACGAACGCUGGCGGCGCGCCUAACACAUGCAAGUCGAACGGAGCUGAGAGAAGCUUGCUUUUCUUAGCUUAGUGGCGAACGGGUGAGUAACGUGUGAGUAACCUGCCCUGGAGUGGGGGACAACAGUUGGAAACGACUGCUAAUACCGCAUAAGCCCACGAUCCGGCAUCGGAUUGAGGGAAAAGGAUUUAUUCGCUUCAGGAUGGACUCGCGUCCAAUUAGCUAGUUGGUGAGGUAACGGCCCACCAAGGCGACGAUUGGUAGCCGGACUGAGAGGUUGAACGGCCACAUUGGGACUGAGACACGGCCCAGACUCCUACGGGAGGCAGCAGUGGGGGAUAUUGCACAAUGGGGGAAACCCUGAUGCAGCGACGCCGCGUGGAGGAAGAAGGUUUUCGGAUUGUAAACUCCUGUCGUUAGGGACGAUAAUGACGGUACCUAACAAGAAAGCACCGGCUAACUACGUG